AACGGUCUAUACCUGCGGUACCUGCGGAAGGAUCAUUACUGAAUGAUCAUCCUUGAUCUUCUCACCCUCAAACCACUGUGGAACACAAGACUUGCUUCGGCGCUUAUGGCGCCGCUCUUAUGCUCAAACAAUGUUGUUUUUGUCUGAAGAAUCUAAUGUCAAAACUUUCAGCAAUGGAUCUCU
RNAcentral lists this unclassified non-coding RNA (183 nucleotides) under soil metagenome. Its description in RNAcentral is "partial contains 5.8S ribosomal RNA, internal transcribed spacer 2, and large subunit ribosomal RNA". The record is from RNAcentral.